GUGGGUAUAGCUGAGGGGUAAGAGUGCCUGCUUGGCAUGCAGGAGGUCCUGAGUUUAAUCUCCAGUACCUCCG
Molecule: transfer RNA, 73 nt
Filed under: Camelus bactrianus (Bactrian camel)
Lineage: Eukaryota; Metazoa; Chordata; Mammalia; Artiodactyla; Camelidae
Also listed under: 1 other name
Rfam family: tRNA
About the family: Transfer RNA (tRNA) molecules are approximately 80 nucleotides in length. Their secondary structure includes four short double-helical elements and three loops (D, anti-codon, and T loops).
Source: Rfam by way of RNAcentral